CUAUUAAGUCAUUAGUGCAACAGUGGGACUGCCGUCUGCCUGCCGACAGCACCAGAUGAUCGGUCCUGAUACGUGUUGCCUCGCAGUUUUCCACAUAUUUGCACAGAGGAGCAAUGGGUUAGCAGUGGGACAGUCUGAGCCUCAGGACAUGUCAGGAAAAGAUAGAGAGCAAGGAGGAGGCAGCAGAGAUCCAAAGGGAGCAAGUCGGAAAGAAGAGUAGAGUGCAAACAAAGAGUGGCUUUUUCCAUCAGUUCAACUGCAGCCAACAUAACCCUUCAAACCCAAACUUACACACCCGUCAGGGAAUGUAAAUAUUUGGAUAUGGAUCAGAAAGUUCCCUGCUGUGACCACAGCAUGAGUGAGCUGCGGCGUCAGCACAGCAGAGAGCCUCCACCUGACAUCUGCAGCAGAGGGAUGGCACAGGGGGGUGAGCUGAUUGAAAUAGACAUAUCAGGCUGUCACUGAGGCAGUAAACAGGGCUCCCUCCUGCUGAGAAGAAACCAGAUUCUGUCACCUACCACCCUCCUAUUCCUCUAAACACUUUCCAGCUGCACCUGAGAGGACACAGCCUCAGUCACCUCUCUCUUUAUUUAAACCUCUCAUAUACAUUCAGGCAGUUGAAAACAAGUCAUGGAACAAAGCAGCCUGAGCAGAUGGACACUCAGCCUGCAUGGUCGCAGGUUGGACAGAGUCCUCUAUCAGAUCUGUUUGCCUGCUCAGCAGUGCCCAGACUGACCCCAGCAGACUGCCAGUCUCCUCACCGGUCUACUGCUCCACGUCUCCACCACCACCUCCCACCGUGACCCCUGACCCCUGCCCAGGAUACAGGCGCCACAGAUAUGAUGCAAUUUCUCUCCGACAUGGGCCAGUGGCCUCGGCUGCAACGCGACCCAGGGUAAAUAAAUAUGGGUGUUUAUUUGGUGAGAGUGAGGGAGGCCCACUGGCUCGAGCCGCCCCCAAAUCUCCCAAAAGCACUGUCAUACUAUGAAGUUAUUGUUCUCCACUUAAGUGCACUGUGUACCAUCAAUACAAUGAGAUAUGGUGAUGCCGAGACACACGAGCCACUCAGUUUUUCUUUCUCAUAAGCGGAGGAGAUGCAAACCUCCUUACAUCUUAGUUAUUGAAGCAACAGAAACAUUUGUUAAGUCACAAGGCAUGAUGGGAGUUUAUUGAUCUGCCCUUACGGGAAGAAAGUAUGUGGGAGUGACCUGUGGGAGUUGCCUCCUGAUGCUGUGGCUGCAGCUUGCAUGAUUUUAGCAGAUUUUCCUUUCCCCUAAAGUUCCUCACAAACUCUUUGGUACUGCUUGACCAGCCCAGCUGUCAAGCUACAUCGGCCUCCAAAGGACUAGAGAAGAACCAUGCACCAUGAGCUGCCAGUGUUUCCAGAACCUCCACAUUACCUCUCACACAGACAUCCACACCUUGCUGUGAUCCAUAAAAAGGUCUUAGAUAUAUAGGGUUCAACAAAGGUCUUUAUAUUGUUCUGCCUCUGUUUCCAUCUCUCUACCACAAUCAAGCUGUAUUAAAAAAAAAACACUUUUCAUCCUCCAGUCCCAGAGAAGGUGAAAAACUGGACAUUUUUCAUCCAAACACUACUUCCUACUAACCUGCAGACCUAAACCAGAGCCUCAAGGCAGGAUGUUUACUCUCUGCAACUGGCACCACUGGGACCAGGUGGCUUUGAGAAACCUGCAGUGUGACACAUGAUAAAUCGCCUGUGUUCCUCAGCCUCUCCGUAAGGUCAAAGUUACAGGAAAUUGUAAGCAACCACUUUUAUUGGGAACAAAUAAUAUGUGGGCCGUCAGGGUUUGGAUCCUUUCCCAACGUAAGAUCUAACUCCGAGCUUUGCUCAUGUUUCAGAUUAGUGUUAGCGGUGAGACGAUGAACAUCAGUCCCCCUGUGUUUUCAACCCAAACACUGUCUUUACACUUUUUCGACUCCCCCCCGAAAAUUAGGAUCUCUCUCUCUCAGUGUCUCACUUCUCUUUCUUCUGACUCCCACCCACACGUUUUUCUUUGAGUCUUUCUCUUUCCAUCCUUCUGACCUCAUCCUGGAUACAGUCAAGCGUAGAGGGAAUCAAUCAGCCAUUGUGUUCAGAUUAAAUCACAAAUUAUUAUAAUUGAGAAUAAUGGUUUCCAUGUCAGUUUCAGUUCAACUCUGAAUUGUUCUCAUACUGAUCUGGAAACAAGGGGGCUGGAAGCUCAAAAGUCCAAAGGUGCUUUGCUCUGGCGGGGGGAGAUUCAAGUUAU
Long non-coding RNA from Notolabrus celidotus (New Zealand spotty), 2249 nucleotides. RefSeq lists it as uncharacterized. The transcript has 3 exons. The record is from RefSeq and is a predicted model, not a curated record. Lineage: Eukaryota; Metazoa; Chordata; Actinopteri; Labriformes; Labridae.